GAUGAAGAACGUAGCGAAAUGCGAAAAGUAGUGUGAAUUGCAGAAUUCAGUGAAUCAUCGAAUCUUUGAACGCACAUUGCGCCACUUGGUAUUCCAUGGGGCAUGCCUGUUCGAGCGUCAUUUCACCACUCAAGCCUCGCUUGGUAUUGGGCAACGCGGUCCGCCGCGUGCCUCAAAUCGACCGGCUGGGUCUUCUGUCCCCUAAGCGUUGUGGAAACUAUUCGCUAAAGGGUGUUCGGGAGGCUACGCCGUAAAACAACCCCAUUUCUAAGGUUGACCUCGGAUCAGGUAGGGAUACCCGCUGAACUUAAGCAUAUCAAUAAGCGGAG
Molecule: unclassified non-coding RNA, 329 nt
Filed under: soil metagenome
Description: partial contains 5.8S ribosomal RNA, internal transcribed spacer 2, and large subunit ribosomal RNA
Rfam family: 5.8S ribosomal RNA (bases 1-120)
Source: RNAcentral